CCUACGGGGGGCUGCAGUGAGGAAUAUUGGUCAAUGGGCGCGAGCCUGAACCAGCCAAGUAGCGUGAGGGAUGAAUGUCCUACGGAUUGUAAACUUCUUUUGUCAGGGAAUAAAGUCAGGCACGUGUGCCUUUUUGUGUGUACUUGAUGAAUAAGCAUCGGCUAACUCCGUGCCAGCAGCCGCGGUAAUACGGAGGAUGCGAGCGUUAUCCGGAUUUAUUGGGUUUAAAGGGAGCGUAGAUGGGUUGGUAAGUCAGUUGUGAAAGUCUGCGGCUCAACCGUCAAAUUGCCAUUGAUACUGGCAGUCUUGAGUACAGUGGAGGUAGGCGGAAUUCGUGGUGUAGCGGUGAAAUGCUUAGAUAUCACGAAGAACUCCGAUUGCGAAGGCAGCUUACUAACCUGCCACUGACAUUGAGGCUCGAAAGCGUGGGUAUCAAACAGGAUUAGAUACCCUAGUAGUC
This 460-nucleotide ribosomal RNA is filed under the name uncultured bacterium. RNAcentral's name for it is "partial 16S ribosomal RNA". It matches the Rfam family "Bacterial small subunit ribosomal RNA", at positions 338 to 795 of the family's 1533-position model. The record is from RNAcentral.